CAGUCGCCACGGUAAUACGAAGGGGGCUAGCGUUGUUCGGAUUUACUGGGCGUAAAGCGCACGUAGGCGGACUUUUAAGUCAGGGGUGAAAUCCCGGGGCUCAACCCCGGAACUGCCUUUGAUACUGGGAGUCUUGAGUUCGAGAGAGGUGAGUGGAGUUGCGAGUGUAGAGGUGAAAUUCGUAGAUAUUCGCAGGAACACCAGUGGCGAAGGCGGCUCACUGGCUCGAUACUGACGCUGAGGUGCGAAAGCGUGGGGAGCAAACAGGAUUAGAUACCCCCGUAGUCCCUGUCUCUUAUAC
RNAcentral lists this ribosomal RNA (301 nucleotides) under uncultured bacterium. RNAcentral's name for it is "partial 16S ribosomal RNA". It matches the Rfam family "Bacterial small subunit ribosomal RNA", at positions 509 to 807 of the family's 1533-position model. The record is from RNAcentral.